AUUUACUUUUGUUGUCAAACAUAAAGCCAUUAUUUAAACUAUGGCGUGUGGCUUCAGUCUCUUGUGGAAAAUCAUCGUGAAAGGACGUGCGAUUGUAACCGGCUUCGAUUCAACACAAUUGCUUGACUAGUUGUCCAACUUCAAAGGCGGGAAAACUUUCAAUAUAGACGCCAUAUUUUUUCAAAGAGAACUUUGAUAUUUUGCUUGUGUACUCCUUAAAAUCGAUGGCCUCGAAAGAUGUCAUCGCGCAGAAAACGUAGCCGAUGCACGUAAUACGUAAUAGGGAUCCGUGGCGUAUUAAUAUAAUCCCAAAAGAGGGAGCGCGAUGGAAACUCCGUAACGGCGACAUCCACGAGAUCUUGGCGAGUGCAAUUAUCUCGUGGAUGAUAGCGGAGCCCACCGAAUGGCGGAACAUACGCAUACAAGUUCGCGGAGGCGGAACACAGGCGGCCCACCUCUGUCCUUCGCCCUUCGAUCCGCGCAGCAGAAUGAGAACGGGGGAGGGGGAGGAGGGCGGCUUUUGGGAGGAUUCCAAAGAGGCCAAGAGGAACGCGCGCCCUCGUAAUCCCGGCCGAGCGAUCCCGGAAUCCAGGAAUGCAAAUUCGACAGGAAUAUUAAACGGCCGAUAUUCUACAGUGGCCUUCCCCGGUAAUGCAUGGCCGUGUAUGCGCCGCGAUAUGGGGCUGUUGUGCCCCCGCGUGCUUUUGUUGGCAAAACGAAAAUGCGGUUGAACCGUGACCUCAUCGAUCGAAAACCGGACUGAAAUUGUUACUGCGAGACCGGACACACGCACAACUUUGCUGUAUGAACGAUUCUAUGAAUGGCGCGAUUUAUAAGAUUUUUAAUAUCCGUUUGCACUUUUAACGCAGAUGGAUGAUGAUCUCGUGAAGAGUGUACUGUAAAAAUAUUAUCCAAGCAUUGUCGAUGGAAUGUAGAAGAAAGUAUGUAGGAUCUGUAUACGCUUUUGUGAACAAUUCUAAAAUUUCUAAUAUCUACACUUUUAAUACAGAUGGAUAAUGAUCAACCUUUGGUGUCGCAAAGAGUACUGUAAAAAUAUUAUCCAAGCAUGUAGAAGAAAGUAUCUAAAAAGGGAUUUGUAUACGCGCUUUUGUGAAUGAUUUCUAAAAUUUCUAAUAUCCGUCUGCACUUUUAAUAUAAAUGGAUGAUGGCCAACCUCUGGUGUCGCAAAAAGUGUACUGUAAAAAUAUUAUCCAAACAUUGUCAAUGGAAUGUAGAAGAAAGUAUCUAAAAAGUAGGAUCUAUGUACGCGCUUUUGUGAACGAUUCUAAAAUUUCUAAUAUAAUAUCGUCUGCAUUUUUAAUACAGAUAGAUGAUGGCCAACCUCUGAUGUCGCGAAAAGUGUACUGUAAAAAUACGAUUCAAGCAUUGUCGAUGGAAUGUAGAAGAAAGUAUGUAGAAUCUGUGUACGCGUGUUUUUGUGAACGACGAUUUCUAAAAUUUCUAAUAUCCGUCUGCACUUUUAAUACAGAUGGAUGAUGGCCAACCUCUGUUAUAGCGAAGAGUGUACAAAAAUACCAUCCAAGCAUUGUCGAUGGAAUGUAGAAGAAAGUAUGUAGGAUCUGUGUACGCUUUUGUGAUUCCGUGAAUGGCACGACGAUUUCUAAAAUUUUUAAUAUCCUGCAAAUUUCUAAUAGUCUGCAUUUUUAAUAUAGAUGGAUGAUAGCCAACCUCUAGUGUCGCCAAGAGUGUACUGUAAUACGAUUCAAGCAUUGUCAAUGGAAUGUAGAAGAAAAUGGAUGAUGGCCAAUCUCUAUUAUAGCGAAGAGUGUACUGUAAAAAUAUUAUCCAAGCAUAUAGAAGAAAGUAUCUAAAAAGUAGGAUCUGUGUACAAUGCUUUUGUAAACGAUUCUAAAAUUUCUAAUAUCCAUCUGCACUUUUAAUACGGAUGGAUGAUGAUCUCUGGUGUCGCGAAGAGUGUACCGUAAAAAUACCAUCCAAGCAUUGUCGAUGGAAUAUAGAAGAAAGUAUGUAGGAUCUGUGUACGCAAUUUUGUGAACGAUUCCGUGAAUGACGCGACGAUUUCUAAAAUUUCUAAUAUCCGUCUGUACUUUUAACGAGUUCUCGAUGAUAGCGAAGAGUAUACUGUAAAAAUACCAUCCAAGCAUUGUCGAUGGAAUGUAAAAGUGUGUAGAAUCUGUGUAUGCGUUUUUGUGAAUAACGAUUUCUAAAAUUUAUAAUAUCCGUUUGCAUUUUUAACGCAGAUGGAUGAUAGCCAACCUCUGGUUUCGCGAAGAGUAUAAAAAAUACUAUCCAAGUAUCGAUGGAAUGAAGAAAGUAUCUAAAAAGUAGGAUCUGUGUACAAUGCUUUUGUGAACGAUUUUAAAAUUUCUAAUAUCCAUCUGCACUUUUAAUACAGAUGGAUGAUGAUCUCUGGUGUCACGAAGAGUGUACUGUAAAAAUAUUAUCCAAGCAUUGUCGAUGGAAUGUAGAAGAAAGUAGGAUCUGUGUAUGCGUUUUUGCGAACGAUUUCGUGAGUGGCGCGACGAUUUCUAUCGAAAAAUUUGCAUAUCCGUCUGCACUUUUAACGCGUUCUCGAUGAUAGCCAACUUCUGUUGCAGCGAGGAGUGUACUGUAAAAAUACCAUCCAAGCAUUGUCGACGGAAUGCAGAAUGUGGAAGUACGUAGGAUCUGUGUACGAAUAAACACGCAUUGGCGCGUUUCUCCGCGCUGUGUAAACCAUUCCGUCGAAUGGCGGAUGACGAUUCCAAUCGAAAAUUUGCAUACCAGUCCGCGCUCCUUUCUUCCAUUUUUCUUUUUUUCCCUUUAACGCGUCCUCGAUGAUGGCCAACAACCUGUGAUGUCGCGGACAAAUGUAAAAAUAUUGUCGAACCACUGCAGCGUUUCUGUACGAAAACGCGCGUGUCGAAUAACGCGCACUUCAUUUUCCUUUUUUUCCUUAACGCGUUCUCUCGUAUCGCGAAGAAACGUGUUAAAUUACGUAACUCGGAUAACUUCUCUAUCAUCCUUCGAACAGUGGUUCGAGACAGUACAACACACGUAUGGAUGGAUUUCUUCGAGUAUAUGAAUGUGUAAUUCGUCGAUCGUUAUCGAUAAAAGUAUCGUCAAUAGAGAAAGUAUAUAGUAGAAUCUCUGUACGUACGCGUGUAUCGAAUAAAAUAAUACUUCUUUUUUCCAAUGUCGCGAACAGUGUACUAAAUUACGUAACUUUAUUAUCCUUGAAUAGUGAUUUUGACAGAUAUACGGAUGGAUUUUUAUUAUCGACGCAUAAUUCGUCGAUUCCCUAAAAAUAUUAUCAAAAAUGGUGCAGAAAUAUCAAGGAUGAAGAAUACAUCUCUGUUGCAAGCGCAUAUGUCGAAUAACCACGCAUUUAAACGGUUCUUUACUGUUGUUAAACGAUUCCAAUUGAAAUAUUUCUUUUUUAACGCGGUGUCGCGAACUAGUGUACUAAAUUACGUAACUCUAUUAUCCUUGAAUAGUGAUUUCGACAGAUGGAUAUGGAUGGAUUUUUAUUAUCGACGCAUAAUUCGUCGAUUCCUUAAAAAUAUUACCAAAAAUGAAUGCAGAAAUAUCAAGGAUGGAGAAUGUAGGAUCUCUGUUGCAAGUGUGUCGAAUAGCACGCAUUUAAACGCUUCUUUACUGUUGUUAAACAAUUCCAAUCGAAAUAUUUUUUUUUUAACGCGUUCUCCAGUGUCACGAAUUAAAUUAGUAUACUAAAUUACGUAACACUGUCACCCUUGAACAGUGGUUUCGAUGGACGAUGGAUGGAU
RNAcentral lists this long non-coding RNA (3749 nucleotides) under Apis mellifera (honey bee). Its description in RNAcentral is "uncharacterized LOC107965445, transcript variant X1". Lineage: Eukaryota; Metazoa; Arthropoda; Insecta; Hymenoptera; Apidae. The record is from RNAcentral.